RNAcentral lists this long non-coding RNA (429 nucleotides) under Androctonus crassicauda. Lineage: Eukaryota; Metazoa; Arthropoda; Arachnida; Scorpiones; Buthidae. The record is from RNAcentral.
UAGUAUACAUUAUAAAAUGUUCAACAAAACUAAAUACUAAAAGUUUUCUAUGUAUUUUUCCUAUAUUCAGAGCAUUCAACAUGAAAUAUAAAGAAGAGAUUUAUUAUUAAGAAAUCUUGGAUUAUUAAAAAUCAUAACACAAAAUGUAUUAUUAUUUAUAUAGAUCAAUGAUUCCCAACAUGGGGGGCACACCCCCACAAUUGCCCUUUGUGGGCAUGGAGUGCAUGCCCCACAAGGGGCAACUGUGGGGAUGUGUGCCCCCGUUGGGCGUGCAACCCAUGUUGGGAAUCAUUGAUCUAUAUAAAGGGGCAAUUAGACUUUUAAGUGAGGCAAUUCGAAAAUUAAUUAUUAACAGUGAAUUUUUUGCAUUUCUUAUAGUUCUAGGAAUCUCAUACAGCAUAUAAAUAUAUAUUGGCAUACAUAUUUUUU